This is a long non-coding RNA of Canis lupus familiaris (dog), 1251 nucleotides long. RefSeq lists it as uncharacterized. The transcript has 3 exons. NCBI's taxonomy places the organism in Eukaryota, Metazoa, Chordata, Mammalia, Carnivora, Canidae. The record is from RefSeq and is a predicted model, not a curated record.
CUCUGAUGUCAAUGACCUAAGGCAAAACCAAGAGUCAGUUGUUCAACCAACUGAGGCACCCAGGCACUCUGUAUUCUGUUCUUUAACAAAGCAAAGAGUUUUUUACAAAAUCUUUCUUUAUUAUCUGAUUCAGAAUAUUGAUUAGAUAUGGUAAGGAAUGUGUCUUUUUUUUACUGCUGCUUUGAAAUUAAGUGAUAUUUCAAACUGCACAAUUUUUUUCAGUUAUGAUAACUAUUUUCUAUUAUUUUGAUAACCAUUGUCUCUCUUCCCUGUUUAAGUUUUCUACUUUAAUAAUGGAAACUCUUAUUAUUGACAUUUUAGGGCUCCUGAGUAUCUGCCCUCCACAUACCUUUUCUUUUCCUCAUGCUUUCAAUCAUUUUUUUCCCUACAUUUUCUUCUACUUGAUCUUCUAGGUUAUCCAUUUAUGGUUCGUAUGAGUUAUCUACGUCAGUGUAAUGCUGCAUAACAAAUAAAAUCAAUCACAAAACUUCAGUGGCAUAUAAUACACAGACACACGCACACAUUUAUUCAGCUCAUAAGUCUGCAGUUCAGUAAUUUAGGCUAGGCUCAGUUGGGUAGUUCCUCUGGUCUCACUUCUGUAUGUCUAAUGUUCAUUUCUGAGGUGGCUGACCUAGGAUGGCUAGAAUGAUUGGUGACUUACUCUGCUCUACAUGCUACAUUUUCCAAAAGGGCAUGUGCUCACUGUAAAGGCAGAAGAGCCAAAACACAAUUGCAAUCACCUCAGCUGCUUGAGAUCUUGAUGCACAGCUGGCACAUCAUCACUCUCACUUCAUUCUACUGGCCACCCAGAAGCUCAGCCUGGAUUUCAAUGAUUCCCGUGUGGCAUGUCAUAACUAUUCAGAUCUGGCACAGCUGGAAGCCAGCUUCCCCUUCUGGAUAUAGCCUGCCUCCAGAAGUUACCUGGAUAUAUGAGAUUUUAUUUAUUCGUGAGAGACACAGAGACAGAGAGAGAGAGGCAGAGACACAGGCAGAGGGAGAAGCAGGCUCCAUGCAGGGAGCCCAACGUGGGACUUGAUCCCGGGUCCCCAGGAUCAGGCCCUGGGCUGAAGGUGGCACUAAACCGCUGAACCAUCCUGGCUGUCCCUCAGUACUAAAAUUUAAGUAGUUUCCAUAUUUAUUUUUGUAACAGUUUGGUUUCUUGGAUAUUAAGGGUAAUGUUGGAAAUAGCAUUUUCCAAAAAUAUUUCAUUGUUUUCAGUGUAAUUUAGAAACUUAUUGACUUUAUGUUUUA